Molecule: ribosomal RNA, 497 nt
Filed under: uncultured bacterium
Lineage: Bacteria
Description: partial 16S ribosomal RNA
Rfam family: Bacterial small subunit ribosomal RNA
Source: RNAcentral
GAUGAACGCUGGCGGCGUGCCUAAUACAUGCAAGUCGAGCGAACAGACGAGGAGCUUGCUCCUCUGACGUUAGCGGCGGACGGGUGAGUAACACGUGGAUAACCUACCUAUAAGACUGGGAUAACUUCGGGAAACCGGAGCUAAUACCGGAUAAUAUAUUGAACCGCAUGGUUCAAUAGUGAAAGACGGUUUUGCUGUCACUUAUAGACGGAUCCGCGCCGCAUUAGCUAGUUGGUAAGGUAACGGCUUACCAAGGCGACGAUGCGUAGCCGACCUGAGAGGGUGAUCGGCCACACUGGAACUGAGACACGGUCCAGACUCCUACGGGAGGCAGCAGUAGGGAAUCUUCCGCAAUGGGCGAAAGCUUGACGGAGCAACGCCGCGUGAGUGAUGAAGGUCUUCGGAUCGUAAAACUCUGUUAUUAGGGAAGAACAAAUGUGUAAGUAACUAUGCACGUCUUGACGGUACCUAAUCAGAAAGCCACGGCUAACUACGUG